AACGCGAAGAACCUUACCAGGGCUUGACAUGCUCUUGCACCAGCCGGAGACGGCUGUCCCUUCGGGGCGGGAGCACAGGUGCUGCAUGGCUGUCGUCAGCUCGUGUGGUGACAUGUUGGGUUAAGUCCCGCAACGAGCGCAACCCCUGUCCUUAGUUGCCAGCAUUCAGUUGGGCUCUCUAAGGAGACUGCCGUGGUGAACACGGAGGAAGGUGGGGAUGACGUCAAGUCCUCAUGGCCUUUAUAUCCAGGGCGACACACGUGAUACAAUGGACGGUACAGAGAGACGCCAAGGGGCGACCCGGAGCCAAUCUCAAAAAGCCGUUCUCAGUUCGGAUUGGAGUCUGCAAUUCGACUCCAUGAAGUUGGAAUCGCUAGUAAUCGCGGAUCAGCACGCCGCGGUGAAUACGUUCCCGGGCCUUGUACACACCGAUAGC
This 436-nucleotide ribosomal RNA is filed under the name uncultured bacterium. RNAcentral's name for it is "bacterial SSU rRNA". It matches the Rfam family "Bacterial small subunit ribosomal RNA", at positions 958 to 1397 of the family's 1533-position model. The record is from RNAcentral.